UAUGAGCAGUUUGAGCACACAUAUAAUUACCUCUCUGUUAGUAAACCAAAGGCUUGCUGCUCAGGAAAACGGGAAAAAUGAACACAACUUCAAUGACUGCUUUAGUUUUUUGACAUCUUAAUUAUUUUUCCAUCAUUUAGUCCUCAAGUGAGUAGAAAAUUAGAUCAUCAAACUGAAAUCAAACACUUGCCACAUCAAAAGCUUUCAUUGUACAACCGUCAGUUUUACCCAGAAGCCCUUUAGAUCUCCCCCCCCCGCCGCCACUACAAACAGCAUUUACAACUCUGUUUGAGCGGGAGCAAACCGAAGUCCACAGUUUCCCAAACAUGUGCAGCCUCAGCAUGAGCAGAGUCGCUGUGUUUUGUUGAGUAAAGACUGCUCAUAGUAACUGUGUCUCGAUACUGAACCAAAUGAAACCAGGGCGAGUUUCACAAACAGGAAGAAUGACUUUUCGAAUGCACCUCUCAGUCUGAUAUUGCAAACUCGAGAUGGCUCAAGUGCAGCUUCAAGCUCUAAAGUUACAACAACUACUGAGAGAUGAGAUGUGAAAGAUGAGAUGUGAGAGAUGUGAGAGAUGAGAGAUAUGUGAGAGAUGAGAUAGAUGAGAUGUGAGAGAUGAGAGAGAUGCGAGAGAUGUGAUGUGAGAGAUGAGAGAGAUCUGAGAGAUGAGAUGUGAGAGAUGAGAGAGAUGAGAGAGAUGUGAGAGAUGAGAUGUGAGAGAUGUGAGAGAUGAGAUGAGAGAGAUGUGAGAGAUGAGAUGUGAGAGAUGAGAGAGAUGUGAGAGAUGAGAUGUGAGAGAUGAGAUGAGAUGUGAGAGAUGAGAUGUGAGAGAUGUGAGAGAUGAGAUGUGAGAGAUGAGAUGAGAGAGAUGAGAGAGAUGUGAGAGAUGAGAUGUGAGAGAUGAGAUGUGAGAGAUGAGAUGUGAGAGAUGAGAGAUGUGAGAGAUGAGAUGUGAGAGAUGAGAGAGAUGAGAUGUGAGAGAUGAGAGAGAUGUGAGAGAUGAUAUGAGAUGUGAGAGAUGUGAGAGAUGAGAGAGAUGUGAGAGAUGAGAUGUGAGAGAUGUGAUGUCUGAGAACUCACAAACUAGAAGGUUGUUGUAUCUCUUUUUAUAUCAUUAAAGAUGGAUUAUUAUGAUCCAAACACAGGCUUAAUUAGACUGCACAGAUUUCCUGUUUACAGUAACAGGUUCUGACAGCAGGUUGACAGGAUGGGGGCUUUCCCAGCUGAAAGUGCCUUUUACUCAUGAGUUUCGGCGUCAUUACUCCAUCUCUGGUAAUUCACGGUACAUGUGUUAACCGUGUUAGGGGACGGCGGGGUACAGGGCAGCGUGGGUCUGCUUCUGAGGGACCAGAAGGUUUUCCUCGGGGGGGUUGUUCUGUCUUGGAGGAGUGCUAAAAAAAAAAAAAGUUUGUUUUAACUAAGACAUUCCGGGUCAUUGUUUUCCCACAGAGCGCGCCGGAAUCUGUCAGGAAAAAACAAUCACCCCUCUAAAACCAAAAAAAAGAAGAGUAUUGCACGUUGAUUCAUUCUGCAUUGCAGCUAUUCUAGUGGCAUGAUUUAGAAUAGCUCCUAAUAAAGUGGCAGUAACAGACUGUCUGAUGUGAGCUGUAACUGUUUGCAUUGGAAAGAAGACACCGCUAAAUAUGAGAUGUUUGUUUUGGAGAUCACAGCUUCCUGGGUCCUUCAGCAGAGUAAACAUCACACUCGCUCUGCUCUCUCACUCCGUGCUUUGAUGUGACUUUUUCUCUAAAUUGUAUUCUGUUUGGCUGCAUGCUGCCUUUGUCGUCUUUUCCACUGUCUGGUGCUGUGUGCAGUCCUCUUGUGGUGUGUUGAUGGUUUGUCAUCCUUUGUCAUUGCUCUAAUUGCUCUGUUUUUGCAUGUUGAUUGUUUUUCUUUCUUUUUCCUUUGUUUUUGUUUUUCCCCUCAUUCCUGAGUGUGACUAUGCAUGUUUUAUGUGCAGCUUGUUAUUCAAAGCAGUUUUUCUCCUUGUAUAAGUGUCAUUGUGUGCAGAUCGUCAUGGAGGCAUCCCGUGUUGUCUCCAUGGGUAUUUGGUUAGUGUCACUGAUGCAUUACAGCCUUACACCCACACACCCAUACAGGAAGUCAGAGCUCUCCAGCUGCACUCAGGCCUUUUGGAUGUCUUUCUCUUUUCUUUUUUUUUCGGU
This is a long non-coding RNA of Gasterosteus aculeatus aculeatus (three-spined stickleback), 2165 nucleotides long. The record is from Ensembl. NCBI's taxonomy places the organism in Eukaryota, Metazoa, Chordata, Actinopteri, Perciformes, Gasterosteidae.